This 31-nucleotide non-coding RNA is filed under the name Mus musculus (house mouse). Lineage: Eukaryota; Metazoa; Chordata; Mammalia; Rodentia; Muridae. The record is from RNAcentral.
UUUAGAUGGAAGAAAGACUCAUGGAUUCAAC